This 497-nucleotide ribosomal RNA is filed under the name uncultured bacterium. RNAcentral's name for it is "partial 16S ribosomal RNA". It matches the Rfam family "Bacterial small subunit ribosomal RNA", at positions 28 to 507 of the family's 1533-position model. The record is from RNAcentral.
GAUGAACGCUGGCGGCGUGCCUAAUACAUGCAAGUCGAGCGAACAGACGAGGAGCUUGCUCCUCUGACGUUAGCGGCGGACGGGUGAGUAACACGUGGAUAACCUACCUAUAAGACUGGGAUAACUUCGGGAAACCGGAGCUAAUACCGGAUAAUAUAUUGAACCGCAUGGUUCAAUAGUGAAAGACGGUUUUGCUGUCACUUAUAGAUGGAUCCGCGCCGCAUUAUCUAGUUGGUAAGGUAACGGCUUACCAAGGCAACGAUGCGUAGCCGACCUGAGAGGGUGAUCGGCCACACUGGAACUGAGACACGGUCCAGACUCCUAAGGGAGGCAGCAGUAGGGAAUCUUCCGCAAUGGGCGAAAGCCUGAAGGAGCAACGCCGCGUGAGUGAUGAAGGUCUUCGGAUCGUAAAACCCUGUUAUUAGGGAAGAACAAAUGUGUAAGUAACUAUGCACGUCUUGACGGUACCUAAUCAGAAAGCCACGGCUAACUACGUG